This is a non-coding RNA of Caenorhabditis elegans, 105 nucleotides long. The record is from Ensembl. NCBI's taxonomy places the organism in Eukaryota, Metazoa, Nematoda, Chromadorea, Rhabditida, Rhabditidae.
UUGAAUUAAGCCAAUUUGAUAGGGAAGUAUAAGAAUUUUGGCGAGAAUCGCCUCAAACCAUUGGCACAAAAAGAACGCCAUUAAAAUGUUCUUGUUCUCGUGGAA